UACGGAGGGUGCAAGCGUUGCUCGGAAUUAUUGGGCGUAAAGGGUAGGUAGGUGGUCUCAUUUGUCUGGGGUGAAAGCCUUGAGCUUAACUCAAGAAGUGCCCCAGAGACGGUGAGACUGGAGUCCUGGAGAGGGUCGUGGAAUUCCCGGUGUAGCGGUGAAAUGCGUAGAGAUCGGGAGGAACACCAGAGGCGAAGGCGGCGACCUGGACAGGUACUGACACUCAACUACGAAAGCGUGGGGAGCAAACAGG
Molecule: ribosomal RNA, 253 nt
Filed under: uncultured bacterium
Lineage: Bacteria
Description: partial 16S ribosomal RNA
Rfam family: Bacterial small subunit ribosomal RNA
Source: RNAcentral